Small nuclear RNA from Hibiscus syriacus, 103 nucleotides. NCBI's taxonomy places the organism in Eukaryota, Viridiplantae, Streptophyta, Magnoliopsida, Malvales, Malvaceae. The record is from RefSeq and is a predicted model, not a curated record.
GUCCUUUCGGGGACAUCCGAUAAAAUUAGAACGAUACAGAGAAAAUUAGCAUAGCCCCUAUGCAAGGAUGACAAGCACAAAUCGAAAAAAGAUCCAAAAUUUU